RNAcentral lists this ribosomal RNA (301 nucleotides) under uncultured bacterium. RNAcentral's name for it is "partial 16S ribosomal RNA". It matches the Rfam family "Bacterial small subunit ribosomal RNA", at positions 509 to 807 of the family's 1533-position model. The record is from RNAcentral.
CAGUCGCCGCGGUAAGACAGAGGAUGCAAGCGUUAUCCGGAAUGAUUGGGCGUAAAGGGCGCGUAGGCGGUCUGACAAGUUUGGUGUGAAAUCUAUGGGCUCAACCCAUAGCCUGCAUCGAAAACUGUCGGGCUUGAGGAUGGGAGAGGUGAGUGGAAUUUCCGGUGUAGCGGUGAAAUGCGUAGAUAUCGGAAGGAACACCUGAGGCGAAAGCGGCUCACUGGACCAUUUCUGACGCUGAGGCGCGAAAGCUAGGGGAGCAAACAGGAUUAGAUACCCCAGUAGUCCCUGUCUCUUAUAC